This is a long non-coding RNA of Amblyraja radiata (thorny skate), 120 nucleotides long. RefSeq lists it as uncharacterized. NCBI's taxonomy places the organism in Eukaryota, Metazoa, Chordata, Chondrichthyes, Rajiformes, Rajidae. The record is from RefSeq and is a predicted model, not a curated record. The transcript is spliced from 2 exons.
AUAACAUUUUAGACUGUUUUUUUGUUGAUUCCCUCAAGCUGAAUAGCCUUUGUAUAGCUAUGUUUUAGGUGAAUUGUUACACCAGAACAGACAGGAAUUCGGGGUUUUUGAACAGACUUU